GCAGUAGCAGGCAUACUGUCUAGGGGACAGCUGCUCUGCUUUUGCACCCUGCUCUAGGAGGAGGAGGCGGUGACCGUGGCGGCGACGAUGCAUUUGGAUGUCUGCCCUAUCAACUUUCGGUGUUACUUUCUGUGCCUACCGUGGUGACCACGGGUUACGGGAAUCAGUAUUCGAUUCCGGAGAGGGAGCCUGAGAAACGGCUACCACAUCCAAGGAAGGCAGCAGGCGUGCAAGUUACCCACUCCCGACGCGGGGAGGUAGUGAC
Pelobates cultripes (western spadefoot toad) is the source of this 265-nucleotide non-coding RNA. The record is from the annotation of a GenBank genome assembly. NCBI's taxonomy places the organism in Eukaryota, Metazoa, Chordata, Amphibia, Anura, Pelobatidae.